This 492-nucleotide ribosomal RNA is filed under the name uncultured bacterium. RNAcentral describes it as "partial 16S ribosomal RNA". It matches the Rfam family "Bacterial small subunit ribosomal RNA", at positions 29 to 507 of the family's 1533-position model. The record is from RNAcentral.
AGUGAACGCUGGCGGUAGGCCUAACACAUGCAAGUCGAACGGCAGCACAGUAAGAGCUUGCUCUUACGGGUGGCGAGUGGCGGACGGGUGAGGAAUACAUCGGAAUCUACUUUUUCGUGGGGGAUAACGUAGGGAAACUUACGCUAAUACCGCAUACGACCUACGGGUGAAAGCAGGGGAUCUUCGGACCUUGCGCGAUUGAAUGAGCCGAUGUCGGAUUAGCUAGUUGGCGGGGUAAAGGCCCACCAAGGCGACGAUCCGUAGCUGGUCUGAGAGGAUGUUCAGCCACACUGGAACUGAGACACGGUCCAGACUCCUACGGGAGGCAGCAGUGGGGAAUAUUGGACAAUGGGCGCAAGCCUGAUCCAGCCAUACCGCGUGGGUGAAGAAGGCCUUCGGGUUGUAAAGCCCUUUUGUUGGGAAAGAAAAGCAGCAGGUUAAUACCCCGCUGUUCUGACGGUACCCAAAGAAUAAGCACCGGCUAACUUCGUG